UGAACUACCCACUGCCUAAAGGCAGAGGGCUUCCGUCAAAUGGUUCACCAGACUAAGUAAGGAGAAACCCUUACUACGUUGGAUAGGUCACGACACCUUUGGUUGACGCACCAGGCCAUCGCUCUGU
This 127-nucleotide small RNA is filed under the name bovine gut metagenome. RNAcentral describes it as "HNH endonuclease-associated RNA and ORF (HEARO) RNA". It matches the Rfam family "HNH endonuclease-associated RNA and ORF (HEARO) RNA", at positions 2 to 128 of the family's 211-position model. The record is from RNAcentral.